AUUGAACGCUGGCGGAAUGCUUUACACAUGCAAGUCGAACGGCAGCACGGACUUCGGUCUGGUGGCGAGUGGCGAACGGGUGAGUAAUGUAUCGGAACGUGCCCAGUCGUGGGGGAUAACGUAGUGAAAAUUACGCUAAUACCGCAUACGAUCUAUGGAUGAAAGCGGGGGAUCGCAAGACCUCGCGCGAUUGGAGCGGCCGAUAUCAGAUUAGGUAGUUGGUGGGGUAAAGGCCCACCAAGCCAACGAUCUGUAGCUGGUCUGAGAGGACGACCAGCCACACUGGAACUGAGACACGGUCCAGACUCCUACGGGAGGCAGCAGUGGGGAAUUUUGGACAAUGGGCGAAAGCCUGAGCCAGCCAUUCCGCGUGCAGGAAGAAGGCCUUCGGGUUGUAAACUGCUUUUGUACAGAACGAAUAGGUUUCUACUAAUACUAGGAGCUCAUGACGGUACUGUAAGAAUAAGCACCGGCUAACUACGUGCCAGCAGCCGCAGUAA
This 500-nucleotide ribosomal RNA is filed under the name uncultured bacterium. Its description in RNAcentral is "partial 16S ribosomal RNA". It matches the Rfam family "Bacterial small subunit ribosomal RNA", at positions 30 to 523 of the family's 1533-position model. The record is from RNAcentral.